GGCCAAACUACCCUUUAGAUCCAGACAACCUCGGGAAACUGAGGCUAAUCCGGAAUAGGGCUCUCAUCCUGGAGUGGAGAGAGCCUGAAACGCUCCGGCGCUAUAGGAUGUGGCUGCGGCCGAUUAGGUAGACGGUGGGGUAACGGCCCACCGUGCCAGUAAUCGGUACGGGUUGUGAGAGCAAGAGCCGGAGACGGUAUCUGAGACAAGAUACCGGGCCCUACGGGGCGCAGCAGGCGCGAAACCUUUACACUGCACGCCAGUGCGAUAAGGGGACUCCAAGUGCGAGGGCAUAUAGUCCUCGCUUUUUGCGACCGUAAGGUGGUCGCGGAAUAAGUGCUGGGCAAGACCGGUGCCCAGCCGCCGCGGUAAUACCGGCAGCACAAGUGAUGACCGCUGUUAUUGGGCCUAAAGCGUCCGUAGCUGGCCGCGCAAGUCUAUCGGGAAAUCUCUCCGCUUAACGGAGAGGCGUCCGGUGGAAACUGUGUGGCUUGGGACCGGAAGACCAGAGGGGUACGUCUGGGGUAGGAGUGAAAUCCCGUAAUCCUGGACGGACCACCGGUGGCGAAAGCGCCUCUGGAAGACGGAUCCGACGGUGAGGGACGAAAGCUCGGGUCACGAACCGGAUUAGAUACCCGGGUAGUCCGAGCUGUAAACGAUGUCUGCUAGGUGUGACACAGGCUACGAGCCUGUGUUGUGCCGUAGGGAAGCCGUGAAGCAGACCGCCUGGGAAGUACGUCCGCAAGGAUGAAACUUAAAGGAAUUGGCGGGGGAGCACUACAACCGGAGGAGCCUGCGGUUUAAUUGGACUCAACGCCGGACAUCUCACCAGCAUCGACAAUGUGCAGUGACGGUCAGUAUGAUGAGCUUACCUGAGCCAUUGAGAGGAGGUGCAUGGCCGCCGUCAGCUCGUACCGUGAGGCGUCCUGUUAAGUCAGGCAACGAGCGAGACCCGCACCCUUAAUUGCCAGCAGCACCCUUGUGGUGGCUGGGUACAUUAAGAGGACUGCCAGUGCCAAACUGGAGGAAGGAACGGGCAACGGUAGGUCAGUAUGCCCCGAAUGUGCUGGGCGACACGCGGGCUACAAUGGCCAAGACAGUGGGAUGCAACGCCGAAAGGCGACGCUAAUCUCCGAAACUUGGUCGUAGUUCGGAUUGAGGGCUGAAACUCGCCCUCAUGAAGCUGGAUUCGGUAGUAAUCGCGCCUCAGAAGGGCGCGGUGAAUACGUCCCUGCUCCUUGCACACACCGCCCGUCAAAGCACCCGAGUGGGGUCCGGAUGAGGCCCGGUUUCCGGGUCGAAUCUGGGCUCCGCA
RNAcentral lists this ribosomal RNA (1315 nucleotides) under Natrialba wudunaoensis. RNAcentral's name for it is "bacterial SSU rRNA". It matches the Rfam family "Archaeal small subunit ribosomal RNA", at positions 102 to 1420 of the family's 1478-position model. The record is from RNAcentral. Lineage: Archaea; Methanobacteriati; Methanobacteriota; Halobacteria; Halobacteriales; Natrialbaceae.